AGGGCUCAACUCCGAGUGGGUGAAGCCCAGCGCGCUUUCGGACAACUGGCGUUGGAGGGACUGUGGAUCUUGCGUUCGCCCCGCCUUAGCCGUGAGCCAAGGCUUGUUGCUAGGGACUGGGGCAAAAAUACCUUACCUGAGAACAAGACAGGAACUAGGCCAGUGCCCUCAGAGCCGAGUUCUAGACCAGGACAACUCCCGGCGUGGAUGAAAGCACACAGCAGUUAAAAAGCAGAGAAGGCCACCAAGGAGAAGCAGGAAGAAGCCCAAAACCAGCAGCCUGGAGCCACACAGAGCCAGCUCUUCCUAAGGGCUGGUAUGCAGUUCACUGAGCCUGACAUUUCCAGGGAUCAUCCUGACAGGACAGAACAAGGCUGGGACUCAGAGUCAGAAAGCCUAGGUUGAUAGCCUAGGUCUGCUGCUUAAGUAAUAUUGCCUUCAAGACACAACAUGCAGCAAAAGACAUCUAUGAAAGCCUGAUAACCUGAAGAAGCUCUUACCGCCGUGAGCAG
This is a long non-coding RNA of Artibeus jamaicensis (Jamaican fruit-eating bat), 512 nucleotides long. RefSeq lists it as uncharacterized. Lineage: Eukaryota; Metazoa; Chordata; Mammalia; Chiroptera; Phyllostomidae. The record is from RefSeq and is a predicted model, not a curated record. The transcript has 4 exons.